RNAcentral lists this ribosomal RNA (416 nucleotides) under Aeromonas veronii. RNAcentral's name for it is "bacterial SSU rRNA". It matches the Rfam family "Bacterial small subunit ribosomal RNA", at positions 1 to 411 of the family's 1533-position model. Lineage: Bacteria; Pseudomonadati; Pseudomonadota; Gammaproteobacteria; Aeromonadales; Aeromonadaceae. The record is from RNAcentral.
AAAUUGAAGAGUUUGAUCAUGGCUCAGAUUGAACGCUGGCGGCAGGCCUAACACAUGCAAGUCGAGCGGCAGCGGGAAAGUAGCUUGCUACUUUUGCCGGCGAGCGGCGGACGGGUGAGUAAUGCCUGGGGAUCUGCCCAGUCGAAGGGAAUAACUACUGGAAACGGUAGCUAAUACCGCAUACGCCCUACGGGGGAAAGCAGGGGACCUUCGGGCCUUGCGCGAUUGGAUGAACCCAGGUGGGAUUAGCUAGUUGGUGAGGUAAUGGCUCACCAAGGCGACGAUCCCUAGCUGGUCUGAGAGGAUGAUCAGCCACACUGGAACUGAGACACGGUCCAGACUCCUACGGGAGGCAGCAGUGGGGAAUAUUGCACAAUGGGGGAAACCCUGAUGCAGCCAUGCCGCGUGUGUGAAGA